Molecule: long non-coding RNA, 701 nt
Organism: Lotus japonicus
Lineage: Eukaryota; Viridiplantae; Streptophyta; Magnoliopsida; Fabales; Fabaceae
Exons: 4
Source: RefSeq, a predicted model, not a curated record
CUCCUCCCCCCCCCCAAAAAAAAUAGCCACCCUAUACUCAGUUCUCAAUUCGAGCUUCAGAAGCCGUAUCUCACCCAAAUCCUACAAUGGAUUUCCCCAAGAUUUACCAAAUCCAAAUCUCUAGCCGCCGGCCUGCACCCAGCUAGAGAUAUCAUAAGCAUCUGCCAUGGGAGAAAUACUUGGAGGAUUCAUAUUCGGGUGCUGAGGAUGUGGGAGAUGUGCCCAAUUUCUGAGCUAGACAUUGCAGUGCAAUUGUUUCUUAUUGAUGCAGAGCUGGUUUGAAUUAGCCUUAGGUGAUUUGCUGGUGAUCUCUGAACUUUGCAUGUCCAGUUCUUGUGGUGUUAUGCUGGUCUGGAUGUUGCUGGAGAACAUUUGCUUGAUGAUAUUGAUUGCCAAGGUGUUGUGAAGGAUAUAUAGUCUUCAGUUUACUUGCUUGAAACAAAUGGUUUGAAGAAGGUUUCUCUCUGUUCAUUGGUUGUCAAGAUGAAAAUUUAUUCUUUUUCAAUAUUCCCUAUCAACUACAACUGUGUUAAUAUAAUUGUCUCUAAAUAGGAGGAUAUUUGACCAUAGUUGGGCUUUUGUCAGAUUUUUUCUUUCAAGUAUUGUGUAAUGACCCCAAUGAAGUAGCCUCUGAGUGUGUACUCUGUAUCAUUUUCCUCCUUAAUUCUCAGUCCUUACAACAUAUUUACAUAUAUACAUAA